GAUGAACGCUGGCGGCGUGCCUAAUACAUGCAAGUCGAGCGAACGGACGAGAAGCUUGCUUCUCUGAUGUUAGCGGCGAACGGGUGAGUAACACGUGGAUAACCUACCUAUAAGACUGGGAUAACUUCGGGAAACCGGAGCUAAUACCGGAUGAUAUUUUGAACCGCAUGGUUCAAAAGUGAAAGACGGUCUUGCUGUCACCUAUAGAUGGAUCCGCGCUGCAUUAGCUAGUUGGUAAGGUAACGGCUUACCAAGGCAACGAUGCAUAGCCGACCUGAGAGGGUGAUCGGCCACACUGGAACUGAGACACGGUCCAGACUCCUACGGGAGGCAGCAGUAGGGAAUCUUCCGCAAUGGGCGAAAGCCUGACGGAGCAACGCCGCGUGAGUGAUGAAGGUCUUCGGAUCGUAAAACUCUGUUAUUAGGGAAGAACAUAUGUGUAAGUAACUGUGCACAUCUUGACGGUACCUAAUCAGAAAGCCACGGCUAACUACGUG
Molecule: ribosomal RNA, 497 nt
Filed under: uncultured bacterium
Lineage: Bacteria
Description: partial 16S ribosomal RNA
Rfam family: Bacterial small subunit ribosomal RNA
Source: RNAcentral